GAUGUACGCUGACGGCGUGCCUAAUACAUGCAAGUCGAGCGAACGGACGAGAAGCUUGCUUCUCUGAUGUUAGCGGCGGACGGGUGAGUAACACGUGGAUAACCUACCUAUAAGACUGGGAUAACUUCGGGAAACCGGAGCUAAUACCGGAUAAUAUUUUGAACCGCAUGGUUCAAAAGUGAAAGACGGUCUUGCUGUCACUUAUAGAUGGAUCCGCGCUGCAUUAGCUAGUUGGUAAGGUAACGGCUUACCAAGGCAACGAUGCAUAGCCGACCUGAGAGGGUGAUCGGCCACACUGGAACUGAGACACGGUCCAGACUCCUACGGGAGGCAGCAGUAGGGAAUCUUCCGCAAUGGGCGAAAGCCUGACGGAGCAACGCCGCGUGAGUGAUGAAGGUCUUCGGAUCGUAAAGCUCUGUUAUUAGGGAAGAACAUAUGUGUAAGUAACUGUGCACAUCUUGACGGUACCUAAUCAGAAAGCCACGGCUAACUACGUG
RNAcentral lists this ribosomal RNA (497 nucleotides) under uncultured bacterium. Its description in RNAcentral is "partial 16S ribosomal RNA". It matches the Rfam family "Bacterial small subunit ribosomal RNA", at positions 28 to 507 of the family's 1533-position model. The record is from RNAcentral.